Molecule: RNA transcript, 1206 nt
Organism: Xenopus laevis (African clawed frog)
Lineage: Eukaryota; Metazoa; Chordata; Amphibia; Anura; Pipidae
Gene name: heat shock factor protein 3-like
Exons: 8
Source: RefSeq, a predicted model, not a curated record
UCAGAAGCAUGCAGCCAAUGAUCGUCGACUUUCUCUAUUAGAGGGGGCGUGGCCUGAGUUCCCCGGAAGUCUGCAUGUUUGUGUUGGGCUGCGUUGCUUGUUGUCGCUUGGGGCUUUUAGACUGUUCUUUACUGCUCCUGUGCUCCAUCUUCGGUACCAGCAUGAAGGAGCCGUCCGUCUCUCCGGGGCCGACCCCAGCCCCCGUUUUUCUCACCAAGCUCUGGGUUCUAGUGGAGGACUCGGCUAAUUGCGACAUGAUCGCUUGGAACACGAAUGGACAGACCUUCUGCAUACUGGAUGAGCAACGGUUUACUAAAGAGAUCCUUCCCAGAUACUUCAAGCACAGCAAUUUGUCUAGCUUCAUUCGGCAACUUAAUAUGUAUGGCUUCCGCAAGGUGAUGAGUUUGGAGAGCGGUCUUGUAAAAUCUGAGAGCGCCAUUGAGUUCCAGCAUCCUUUCUUUAAAAAAGGGAGACCGGAGUUAUUGGAACACAUCAAGCGUAAGGUGAACUCGGUAAAAACAGAAGAUGCUCAUCUGUCCCAGGACAAUUUGCAAAAGGUUAUUAAUGAAUUAAAAGUGCUUCAAGAUGGACAAUCCAACAUGGAUUUCAAGUUGGAUACAAUGAAGAGGGAAAAUGAAAUUCUUUGGAAGGAGGUUUCUUCUCUGAGAAGGAAGCACAGCCAACAGCAGAAACUUCUUGCAAAGGCCAUUAACAAUUGAAGCUUCACAGUCCUCUUCCCCUAAAUACAGUCGCAAUAUGCUGCAGCUUACAGAAGGAGGAGUUAGUGAGGGAAAUCCAUCUUCACAAUGUCCUGGAAGCUCCACUGACAAUUACCUUGUAAUCCAUGAGAUCCCAAGUGCUGAGGAAAGCUUUGAACACCUUCCCAAGCAGUUGCCUAAAUCCAGCCUAGAAAGCCUCCAUGAUACACAGCAGGUGAUUCUAAUGGAUGAGACUGAUGUGAAUCUUCAGCUGGAGGUGGAAGAGUCUCAUUACCCAAGCAGCUCUAUCCUGGCACAGGACCAGGUUGUGAUCCCAAAUGCUUUCUUUCCAGUGACAGAUCAGUCCGUAAUUCCCAGCAAUUCAUUUGUAGUAGAAAAAUCCUUUAUUCCUAAUAGCUCUACUGCUGAUGAGGAGUUGGCUCUUGAUUUGGUACAAGACAGCGCUCCUGAGGACCCUGAUAGUGUCAUUGAUUCGAUUCUUAAUGAA